CCUACGGGAGGCAGCAGUGAGGAAUAUUGGUCAAUGGCCGGAAGGCUGAACCAGCCAAGCCGCGUGAAGGACGAAGGUGCCAAGCAUUGUAAACUUCUUUUGUCAAGGGACAAAAUCAGGCUCGAGAGCCUGACCGAGGGUACUUGAAGAAAAAGCAUCGGCUACCUCCGUGCCAGCAGCCGCGGUAAUCCGGAGGAUACGAGCGUUAUCCGGAUUUAUGGGGUUUAAAGGGUGCUUAGUGGGACUGUUAAGUCGGCGGGAAAAGCCCGGGGCGAAACCCCGGAGAGCCGUUGACACUGGCUGGCUUGAGAGGUGGAGAGGUAUGCGGAAUGCGCAGUGUAGCGGUGAAAUGCUUAGAUAUUGCGCAGAACUCCGAUUGCGAAGGCAGCAUACCGGCGGGGAUCUGACGCUGAGGCACGAAAGCGUGGGUAUCGAACAGGAUUAGAUACCCGGGUAGUC
Molecule: ribosomal RNA, 459 nt
Filed under: uncultured bacterium
Lineage: Bacteria
Description: partial 16S ribosomal RNA
Rfam family: Bacterial small subunit ribosomal RNA
Source: RNAcentral